Molecule: ribosomal RNA, 497 nt
Filed under: uncultured bacterium
Lineage: Bacteria
Description: partial 16S ribosomal RNA
Rfam family: Bacterial small subunit ribosomal RNA
Source: RNAcentral
GAUGAACGCUGGCGGCGUGCCUAAUACAUGCAAGUCGAGCGAACGGACGAGAAGCUUGCUUCUCUGAUGUUAGCGGCGGACGGGUGAGUAACACGUGGAUAACCUACCUAUAAGACUGGGAUAACUUCGGGAAACCGGAGCUAAUACCGGAUAAUAUUUUGAACCGCAUGGUUCAAAAGUGAAAGACGGUCUUGCUGUCACUUAUAGAUGGAUCCGCGCUGCAUUAGCUAGUUGGUAAGGUAACGGCUUACCAAGGCAACGAUGCAUAGCCGACCUGAGAGGGUGAUCGGCCACACUGGAACUGAGACACGGUCCAGACUCCUACGGGAGGCAGCAGUAGGGAAUCUUCCGCAAUGGGCGAAAGCCUGACGGAGCAGCGCCGCGUGAGUGAUGAAGGUCUUCGGAUCGUAAAACUCUGUUAUUAGGGAAGAACAUAUGUGUAAGGAACUGUGCACAUCUUGACGGUACCUAAUCAGAAAGCCACGGCUAACUACGUG